Molecule: long non-coding RNA, 1112 nt
Filed under: Anas platyrhynchos platyrhynchos (common mallard)
Lineage: Eukaryota; Metazoa; Chordata; Aves; Anseriformes; Anatidae
Description: lncRNA (ENSAPLG00000026999.1)
Source: RNAcentral
AUUUCAUUUAUUACCUUAAAUAAACCAAACUAUUUUAGUCUUCUACUGCAGGAUAGCCUUUCUGUUUGCCUAAUCAUCCUAAUGUCACCUUUAUGUUCAUUUUUGCAGAUAUUACACUUCCAGUUUAAACUGUCCAGAUGUAUACUGUUUAAAAUAUGCAUGCUUCUCUUAUUCAUCUGAGCACUCCAGCUGUGAAAAUCCAGGCACAUGUUAUCAGGUUACUCUUCAGCUCUGGUAAGGUAGUAUGCAGUAGCAUGGAGGACAAAAUUAUGUUCCCAGCUGUACUCCAGGAGGUUGCAAAUAGCAGGUGCUAUGUGCUGCCCGCAGAACUGCUUGGAUGGGCUAGAAACCACCCCAAAGAGGAUCUCAAUGGGAGAUCAAAGGGACUAGGUGGGAAUUUGGGCCAGCAAGCCUCACACGGAUGAAGGUGGAUCUAAUUUCCCUUGUUUCUGCGGAAGAAAAGUGAUCAUCCUGAAGACAAGGAGCCAAGGACAAAUGAAUCCCAGGUUGGGCAGAGAUCUAAGACUGAUUCUCUGAUCCUCUGGAUUUCAAGGAAUGAUUGUGAACUCUUUGUUACCCCUGAGAAAAGUGGGAACUUGAAUCACCCUGAGUCCUUUGAGAGGCCUCUCAUUCCACUUGGUAUCAAUAAGAAGGAUUUAUUUUUUUGUUGUUGAGAAAAAAAUGACUUAAUUUUUGCAUGUCUUUUUGAAUAUAUAUGUAACUACUAGAUUUUACUGUUGUUAUUUUCAUUUCUUCAUGAUGAAUCCUUUGCCAAAUGGUUUGCUUGCAAAACUUGUCAUUAAACAUAGCCAUGGAUAAGAGACCUUUGUGGUGUUUUCAGUUUGCAGAUCCUCUAGAACUUUUUCUACGUUUCAUAAUCCUUUAAACUGAUGAAAUUUGCCAAGUCUUCUCCCCCUUAAUUUAAUCUUCUUGCUCAGCCAGUGCAUUUGUAACUGGUUGGAAUCAUGUGUUAUUUAAAUAAUGACUCCUGUCUGAAAGUAAUUUCUGCCCUGUUUGUGGAAGAACUGUGCACACAAAAACAAAACCUGUGACAGCUUAGGAUUUGUAUUUGAAAUCCUGAAUGGAAUAAACUGAGUGGAAAUAAAGCCUCA